AUGCAUGCUUUUACAGUAUGAAAAUUGGUGAUUUAUAAUAACUUAGCAAAUCGCAAAGUGAAAACAGGCGAUAAAUCAUUCAAGUUUCUGACCUAUCAGCUUUCGACGGUAUGGUAUUGGCUUACCGUGGCAGUGACGGUUAACGGGGGAUUAGGGUUCGAUUCCGGAGAGGGAGCCUGAGAAACGGCUACCACAUCUAAGGAAGGCAGCAGGCGCGCAAAUUACCCAAUUCUAACAGUUUGAGAGAGGUAGUAACAAGAAAUAACAAUACAAGGCAGUUAAAAUGCUUUGUAAUUGGAAUGAUAGAAAUUUAAACCCUUUUUAAAGUAUCAAUUGGAGGGCAAGUCUGGUGCCAGCAGCCGCGGUAAUUCCAGCUCCAAUAGCGUAUAUUAAAAUUGUUGCAGUUAAAAAGCUCGUAGUUGAAGUUCUGCUAAAAGUAACCGGUCUGCUUUUAAUAAAGGUGGUAUCUUGGUGUGUAUUUAGCAAUGAUGUCCUUUGAAGUGUUUUUUACUUUAUUGUAAUAAAGCAUAUUCAGGACUUUUACUUUGAGAAAAUUAGAGUGUUUCUAGCAGGCUAACGCUUUGAAUACUGCAGCAUG
This 598-nucleotide ribosomal RNA is filed under the name Hepatozoon canis. RNAcentral's name for it is "bacterial SSU rRNA". It matches the Rfam family "Eukaryotic small subunit ribosomal RNA", at positions 224 to 811 of the family's 1831-position model. Lineage: Eukaryota; Apicomplexa; Hepatozoidae. The record is from RNAcentral.